RNAcentral lists this non-coding RNA (117 nucleotides) under Homo sapiens (human). The record is from Rfam by way of RNAcentral. Lineage: Eukaryota; Metazoa; Chordata; Mammalia; Primates; Hominidae.
GCUGGGCGUGAUGGCUCAUGCCUGUAAUCCCAGCACUUUGGGAGGCCGAGGCAGGUGGAUCACCUGAGGUCAGGAGUUCAAGACCAGCCUGGCCAACAUGGUGAAACCCCGUCUCUA